Molecule: microRNA precursor, 74 nt
Filed under: Pelodiscus sinensis (Chinese soft-shelled turtle)
Lineage: Eukaryota; Metazoa; Chordata; Testudines; Trionychidae
Description: miRNA (ENSPSIG00000020253.1)
Source: RNAcentral
UUGGGCCCAAGUCCAAAGUCCACUGAAGUCAAUGAGAGCCUUUCUAUUGACUUCAGUAGGCUUUGGAUCAGGCC